AAUAGAUACCCCGGUAGUCCACGCCGUAAACGAUGAGUGCUAAGUGUUAGAGGGUUUCCGCCCUUUAGUGCUGCAGCUAACGCAUUAAGCACUCCGCCUGGGGAGUACGGUCGCAAGACUGAAACUCAAAGGAAUUGACGGGGGCCCGCACAAGCGGUGGAGCAUGUGGUUUAAUUCGAAGCAACGCGAAGAACCUUACCAGGUCUUGACAUCCCACUGACCGGUAUAGAGAUAUACCUUUCCCUUCGGGGACAGUGGUGACAGGUGGUGCAUGGUUGUCGUCAACUCGUGUCGUGAGAUGUUGGGUUAAGUCCCGCAACGAGCGCAACCCUUGAUCCUAGUUGCCAGCAUUUAGUUGGGCACUCUAAGGUGACUGCCGGUGACAAACCGGAGGAAGGUGGGGAUGACGUCAAAUCAUCAUGCCCCUUAUGACCUGGGCUACACACGUGCUACAAUGGAUGGUACAAAGGGCUGCAAGACUGCGAAGUCAAGCCAAUCCCAUAAAACCAUUCUCAGUUCGGAUUGCAGGCUG
This 532-nucleotide ribosomal RNA is filed under the name uncultured bacterium. RNAcentral's name for it is "bacterial SSU rRNA". It matches the Rfam family "Bacterial small subunit ribosomal RNA", at positions 777 to 1307 of the family's 1533-position model. The record is from RNAcentral.